AGCGAACGCUGGCGGCAGGCUUAACACAUGCAAGUCGAGCGGGCAUCCUUGUGGUGUCAGCGGCAGACGGGUGAGUAACGCGUGGGAACGUGCCCUUCGGUUCGGAAUAACUCAGGGAAACUUGAGCUAAUACCGGAUACGUGCGAGAGCAGAAAGGUUUAUCUGCCGAAGGAUCGGCCCGCGUCUGAUUAGCUAGUUGGUGAGGUUACGGCUCACCAAGGCGACGAUCAGUAGCUGGUCUGAGAGGAUGAUCAGCCACACUGGGACUGAGACACGGCCCAGACUCCUACGGGAGGCAGCAGUGGGGAAUAUUGGACUAUGGGGGCAACCCUGAUCCAGCCAUGCCGCGUGAGUGAUGACGGCCUUAGGGUUGUAAAGCUCUUUUCUCCGGGACGAUAAUGACGGUACCGGAGGAAUAAGCCCCGGCUAACUUCGUG
RNAcentral lists this ribosomal RNA (437 nucleotides) under uncultured bacterium. Its description in RNAcentral is "partial 16S ribosomal RNA". It matches the Rfam family "Bacterial small subunit ribosomal RNA", at positions 29 to 507 of the family's 1533-position model. The record is from RNAcentral.